GAUGAAGAACGUAGCGAAAUGCGAUACUUGGUGUGAAUUGCAGAAUUCAGUGAAUCAUCGAAUCUUUGAACGCACAUUGCGCCCUUUGGUAUUCCAAAGGGCAUGCCUGUUCGAGCGUCAUUUGUACCCUCAAGCUUUGCUUGGUGUUGGGCGUCUUGUCUCUAGCUUUGCUGGAGACUCGCCUUAAAGUAAUUGGCAGCCGGCCUACUGGUUUCGGAGCGCAGCACAAGUCGCACUCUCUAUCAGCAAAGGUCUAGCAUCCAUUAAGCCUUUUUUUCAACUUUUGACCUCGGAUCAGGUAGGGAUACCCGCUGAACUUAAGCAUAUCAAUAAGCGGAGGA
This 341-nucleotide unclassified non-coding RNA is filed under the name soil metagenome. RNAcentral describes it as "partial contains 5.8S ribosomal RNA, internal transcribed spacer 2, and large subunit ribosomal RNA". The stretch from base 1 to 120 matches the Rfam family "5.8S ribosomal RNA", at positions 35 to 154 of the family's 154-position model. The record is from RNAcentral.